CCUUCCCGCACGCUGAUUGGCCGAGGCUGCCGGGUGAAGCGGACGUUGAUUGGUCAGUUCAAAGUCAGCUGUCAGAGGUAAAUAAGGCGACCAUCAAGAAGGAAAAUCAAGACUACAACACCAAGUGUAAAGACGAUAUUUACAACGAAAUAUUGGACCAGACGAGGGAUGUGUGAUGGCUGUGGACGGAGCGCUGGAGGCACCGACGCUCGUCACCAAGGACAUCCCCAGCAGCUGGGGGAGAGGAUCAACCUUACAAUAGCCGUUAACUGCUGGCACUGUAUGACCAUCAUAUCCUGCUGUUGACUACAAGGGUUGUCUGAUGGUCGCUGACGAAGUGCUGGAGGCGGUGACGCAUCAUAAGACUACAUCCGCAGCAGCAGAGAUGGAGGAUCAACCUUACAGCUGCGGUGAACUGCUGUCUCUGCUACAACCAGCAAAUUCUGCCUUUGUUGACUACCAGGGGUCAGACGUGUGGAGUGAGCAGUCGUGCGUCGAUGAACAGUAAUGUUGGCUCGCUGGUUCUUCCCCGAGUUGUGGUCGUAGUUAUGACUAAGCUGCUGCUACUAACACUAGUGCUGUUGCUGGCACCACCACGACUACUGCCGCCACCACCACUACUGCCACCACCACCACCACCACCACCACUACUACUACUACCACCACCACUACUACUACCACCACCACCACCACUACUACUACCACCACUAGUGUUGAUGUCACCACUACUAGUGCUGCUAAUGUGAGUGUUAUAAAACAAUUUAUUGGGAUCAGUACUUACCGAGAUAGUGGCGUCAGGUUGACAGAGGUGAAUAACUGACGGCAAUGUCGGAGACUGCUGUUCUCUCCUUAAUAUUAUUGACAUUUUUAUUUCGUGAUAUUUUCCUGUUUUAUGGGCUGGAAGACCAGUAUAAUGUAAAUAUAUCCACUCUUUGUAUGCAAGACGAUACCCGCAGUGUCAUUGUAUUUACAAAACUUGUUUACACAAACAAGUAAAAUUGUUGUUUAUUAUUAAUGUUGUGUAAUAUACAGAUGGACCUGAGUUGUAAUUGCGGUGCACCAUGCGUUGGCUCCAUCUUUUUAUAAUUCCAUGUAUAUAUGUAGUCACUGGACAUGGUCCUAGAACUGAUGCAGUCUGUGGAAGUCUUUGAAACAUGGUGUUAUACAAUGCUGCUUUACACUCCUCAUAUAAAACAUGAUGUUAUACAAUGCUAUUUUACAUUACUCUCGUUUUUGUGGGCGUUUUGUUGUAUGUACACAGACAAAACAGCUCUGAGCAAAUUUCUUAUAAGGAGGCAGUUGUAUAAGUAAUCGCCAUGCCUCAAACGAGAGGGUAUUUGGUGAUCAGUUUGUGUACUGUUUUGCAUCGCUGGUGUUACCUGGUACUUGUCUGAUGGCAAACAGUAUUCUCUAUAUGGUAGUUUUUCUGGUUUCUUCUUGUACUUAUAAACAUUGAGCAUGGAAGUGUUCACUAGAUGGAAAAAGUUUAAUGUACCACUCUUAACUCGUGGACAAAUGUGACGUGCAGCAAACCCAAUCUGCAUGUCAUAUUUGUCCAUUGAGCGCAUAUUGAGGGUGUAGUUCACUUACAGCCCUAGGGUUCAAAAUGGGUUCAUUAGUCUCAAUAUUUUCCCUUCCACUAUCUGUUAUUUCGUUGUUUUGAAUUGAUGUAUCGUGACAUCUCGUUCGCCAUGCCACUGUAAUGCCAUAUCACUGGCAACAAACAUCUGCACCUCACUACUACGAUUGCCUGCGUUGAACCUGGGCAUGUUUGAUUUGCACGCACUGUACCCCACACGUCUGUCAGGUUCACCUGCAAGAAAUCACUGAGUAAGGGGCUUGUGUACCAGUUAUCAGUAUAUAAUGUAUGCCCCUUACCAAGUUAGGGUUCCAUCAUUGUUCUCGCUACAUCUCCCGAGAUACCUUAUAACUUCUUGGUAUCCUCCAAUGUUUUACUUUCCAAUAUUUCACUAUCGCUACUUGAAUGGGCAUAAAAGGCAAUAAAAUCAAAAGACCAUGGCACUAUCGUCGCCAUUACUCUCAUAGGAAGCCUGGCCGUGCAAAGAUAUUUUCUUGGUACAGCUGGAUGUAAGAGACUGACCAGCAGCAGAGGUGGAAGGUUGAGGAUCGUCAGGGUUUGCAGCACUAUUUUUCAGUGUUCUUAGAAAUGCUUUCGGUCACAAAUUGUUCAGAACCAUAGAAAUCCUCCUCAGAUCCACUUACAUCCGUGUUAGAAUUGUCACUUGGAAAGAGGAGAUGCAGAAUUCGAUGGGAGUAAGGUAUUUCUUACCACGAGACAUGGUGAACAGCAUACCGAGAUGCAGGGGUGGGGGGACCUUUUUAUUUUUCUGCCAAAGUCCAUUUGGAUGUUUAUAACAUCAAUCACGAGCCAUACAAAAUUAUCAACAUAAAAAUUAGCCUGCUAUAUUUAGUUAAACGUUUAAUUAACUCGCAUAAUGUGAUGGCUGGAACUGCUUCUCUUUGGUGAGAGGGGUGAUGUUAACUAGUACUGAUGUUGCUAUUAGGAAUUGUUUUUCCAGGGUGGCGUCGAACAGUCUGAAUCACAGUCAACUCUUUGCGAUGUAAGUUUUGAAAAGAACUGAUCACGGCAUUGUUCUUUCAAACACAUGCAUAUUUCAUUGCAUGUCGCCUCAAAGUGAGAAAAUUCAUCAUUGAUUAUGUAACGUUUGUAGAACUCGAGUAGUGGGAGGUUGUUGAAGCUAGCUUUCAGGUCAUCGCUUUGCAACUGAACGACUUCUUGUUAUAAGUUAUGAGGCACAUUAAUUAGUUCCACAUAGAGCGGUGUAGAAAAGAUGUUCAAUUCCAUUUGUUUACUUUUCACGUCUCGCUUCAUUGAAUCUUAAAUUAAAUACCUCAACUAGUUUUGCACACUCGCCAAAAUUAGUGUUUUUAUUCUUCCAGAUUAAGGAAAUUCACCUUGUUAUUCCUUCAAGAGUUGCACUUUCCACAGCCUUAAUUUAGCUUUAAAUGAUUUCACUUUCGAUAACAGGGAGCUGAGAAGCUGGAAGGGGCCCUGUAGUUUGAUGUUCAGCGCUGAGAGGAACUUGGUAAAAUCCACCCUGAACGCUGCAUCACACAGCCACUUGCAAUCAUUGAGUUCCUGAGAGGUUUUCCCUUCAUUUCCUUGAAACUGCUUGACUUCAUUCCGCAGCUGGUAAAACCUCAUGAGCAUGUUUCCGCGACACAAACACCGCACUUCACGGUGAUAAAUAUCACCGUACUCAGUAUCAUUCACUACCUCCUUAUACUGGCGUUUAAGUCCUCUUCUUUAGACAUUGUUGAGACACAACGACUAUGCGCAGAGACUUUCUUGGUGUAUGAAACUGAGAGACGAUUCAGUUCUAUUUUACAAAUGUAAUUAACCCUUUUCGCGAGGCAACCAUAGCCUGAGCUCCAUCUGUAGUAAUGCCACGUAACUUUUCAAAAGUAAGCUUUUUUUUUUCAAUAAAACAAAACACACAACCCACACGUAGCAGAGAGGUGCUUACAACAGCGUUGCGGUCCAACUUGCGCCAUUUGCAAAGUCACACUAACAGAGGAGAGAUGGGGGCAGUAUAUAAAGGCCAGCAGACAGGGACGGGACAAGAGGUAGUAGUAGUCUUUUACUGACUCCACUAUUAAUACUGCUCAAACAAGUCCUCACCUCUUGUAGUGCCAUACAUGGCUUCCACUGAGAGCAGUUCCUCUCGCGUGUCAAACUGCCGUUAUCCUACUAACGAAAACGGCCAGUUGGGCAGUAUUUAUGACCGUUGUCUCAUCACAAGACAGAAAAAUUGGAUAUCUGUAAA
Molecule: long non-coding RNA, 3809 nt
Organism: Cherax quadricarinatus
Lineage: Eukaryota; Metazoa; Arthropoda; Malacostraca; Decapoda; Parastacidae
Source: RefSeq, a predicted model, not a curated record